RNAcentral lists this ribosomal RNA (505 nucleotides) under uncultured bacterium. Its description in RNAcentral is "bacterial SSU rRNA". It matches the Rfam family "Bacterial small subunit ribosomal RNA", at positions 9 to 509 of the family's 1533-position model. The record is from RNAcentral.
GAGUUUGAUCGUGGCUCAGAUUGAACGCUGGCGGCAGGCCUAACACAUGCAAGUCGAGCGGUAGAGAGAAGCUUGCUUCUCUUGAGAGCGGCGGACGGGUGAGUAAUGCCUAGGAAUCUGCCUGGUAGUGGGGGAUAACGCUCGGAAACGGACGCUAAUACCGCAUACGUCCUACGGGAGAAAGCAGGGGACCUUCGGGCCUUGCGCUAUCAGAUGAGCCUAGGUCGGAUUAGCUAGUUGGUGAGGUAAUGGCUCACCAAGGCGACGAUCCGUAACUGGUCUGAGAGGAUGAUCAGUCACACUGGAACUGAGACACGGUCCAGACUCCUACGGGAGGCAGCAGUGGGGAAUAUUGGACAAUGGGCGAAAGCCUGAUCCAGCCAUGCCGCGUGUGUGAAGAAGGUCUUCGGAUUGUAAAGCACUUUAAGUUGGGAGGAAGGGCAGUAAAUUAAUACUUUGCUGUUUUGACGUUACCGACAGAAUAAGCACCGGCUAACUCUGUGCC